Molecule: ribosomal RNA, 253 nt
Filed under: uncultured bacterium
Lineage: Bacteria
Description: partial 16S ribosomal RNA
Rfam family: Bacterial small subunit ribosomal RNA
Source: RNAcentral
UACAGAGGUCUCAAGCGUUGUUCGGAUUCAUUGGGCGUAAAGGGUGCGUAGGCGGCGUGAUAAGUCGGGUGUGAAAUCUCGGAGCUUAACUCCGAAACUGCAUUCGAUACUGCCGUGCUUGAGGACUGGAGAGGAGACUGGAAUUUACGGUGUAGCGGUGAAAUGCGUAGAUAUCGUAAGGAAGACCAGUGGCGAAGGCGGGUCUCUGGACAGUUCCUGACGCUGAGGCACGAAGGCCAGGGGAGCAAACGGG